Molecule: ribosomal RNA, 468 nt
Filed under: uncultured bacterium
Lineage: Bacteria
Description: partial 16S ribosomal RNA
Rfam family: Bacterial small subunit ribosomal RNA
Source: RNAcentral
GACGAACGCUGGCGGCGUGCUUAACACAUGCAAGUCGAACGGAAAGGCCCUGCUUUUGUGGGGUGCUCGAGUGGCGAACGGGUGAGUAACACGUGAGUAACCUGCCCUUGACUUUGGGAUAACUUCAGGAAACUGGGGCUAAUAUCGGAUAGGAGCUCCUGCUGCAUGGUGGGGGUUGGAAAGUUUCGGCGGUUGGGGAUGGACUCGCGGCUUAUCAGCUUGUUGGUGGGGUAGUGGCUUACCAAGGCUUUGACGGGUAGCCGGCCUGAGAGGGUGACCGGCCACAUUGGGACUGAGAUACGGCCCAGACUCCUACGGGAGGCAGCAGUGGGGAAUAUUGCACAAUGGGCGGAAGCCUUAUGCAGCAACGCCGCGUGCGGGAUGACGGCCUUCGGGUUGUAAACCGCUUUCGCCUGUGACGAAGCGUGAGUGACGGUAAUGGGUAAAGAAGCACCGGCUAACUACGUG